UACGGGGGGUCCUAGCGUUGUUCGGAAUCACUGGGCGUAAAGCGUUUGUAGGCGGCUUUGUAAGUUAGCUGUGAAAGCCCGGGGCCUAACCCCGGAAGUGCAUCUAAUACUGCAGAGCUUGAGUAUGAGAGAGGAAGAUGGAAUAUCUGGUGUAGUGGUGAAAUACGUAGAUAUCAGAUGGAACAUCGGUGGCGAAAGCGGUCUUCUGGCUCAAUACUGACGCUGAAAAACGAAAGCGUGGGGAUCAAACAGG
Molecule: ribosomal RNA, 253 nt
Filed under: uncultured bacterium
Lineage: Bacteria
Description: partial 16S ribosomal RNA
Rfam family: Bacterial small subunit ribosomal RNA
Source: RNAcentral